GGCUAUGUAGCUCAGCUGGUUAGAGCGCAGCAUUCAUAAUGCUGAUGUCCGUGGUUCAAAUCCACGCAUAGCUACCA
Molecule: transfer RNA, 77 nt
Filed under: Pseudomonadales bacterium
Lineage: Bacteria; Pseudomonadati; Pseudomonadota; Gammaproteobacteria; Pseudomonadales
Also listed under: 1 other name
Description: tRNA-Met
Rfam family: tRNA
About the family: Transfer RNA (tRNA) molecules are approximately 80 nucleotides in length. Their secondary structure includes four short double-helical elements and three loops (D, anti-codon, and T loops). Further hydrogen bonds mediate the characteristic L-shaped molecular structure. tRNAs have two regions of fundamental functional importance: the anti-codon, which is responsible for specific mRNA codon recognition, and the 3' end, to which the tRNAs corresponding amino acid is attached (by aminoacyl-tRNA synthetases). tRNAs cope with the degeneracy of the genetic code in two manners: having more than one tRNA (with a specific anti-codon) for a particular amino acid; and 'wobble' base-pairing, i.e. permitting non-standard base-pairing at the 3rd anti-codon position.
Source: RNAcentral